Lolium perenne is the source of this 593-nucleotide long non-coding RNA. RefSeq lists it as uncharacterized. The record is from RefSeq and is a predicted model, not a curated record. NCBI's taxonomy places the organism in Eukaryota, Viridiplantae, Streptophyta, Magnoliopsida, Poales, Poaceae.
UUUAAUAUUUUGACGAGCUGUGAUGAUAUCGCUCCCUCCCUCUCUUUUGUUUGAACUGUGCAUAUCACUAACUUAUCUGCUCUUUCAGGUAUGUUAGAAAUUCUAUUGAAAGAUGCUCUUUAACAAAUUUAUCUGAACCCACAGAUCUGGACUUUUCAAGUUACGACGUAUAAAGAGAACUUUAUUUGUUUUUGACACAGUAUUUUGAGACCGAUGGGAAACUGCUACCAAUAGUGUGUCCUAAGAUCAUUGACAUUGUACGCCUGUUUUAUCCAUAGAAGUUAGAUUCUAGGUGUUCUAAGCCUGUACUAUAGCUGGUUACUGAACAAGUGAUUGGAGAGAGACCACAUAUAGAAGAAAUUCGGAAGAUCCAUGUUCUCUUGAGUCUUGCAGAAAUGAGCUUAAAGUAUAUAAAUCUUUUUUUUGGAGAAUACCAGGCUUGGAAGCUCUGUCAUCCUGAUGUUGGACAUGUAUUUCAAUAUUUUAGGAAGGUUGGUAUUAAACUGAUGCCCUUUCAGAUUAUGAUACUCGUCAAUGACCACUUCUACAGGUCUUGAAAUGUAAUCACUGGUUUGAUGCGGUUUGCCGUGUCU